GAUGAACGCUGGCGGCGUGCUUAACACAUGCAAGUCGAGCGAAGCGGCUGAAUUGAUUCUUCGGAUGAUUUUCAGUCGACUGAGCGGCGGACGGGUGAGUAACGCGUGGGUGACCUGCCCCAUACCGGGGGAUAACAGCUGGAAACGGCUGCUAAUACCGCAUAAGCGCACAGAGCUGCAUGGCUCGGUGUGAAAAACUCCGGUGGUAUGGGAUGGGCCCGCGUCUGAUUAGGCAGUUGGCGGGGUAACGGCCCACCAAACCGACGAUCAGUAGCCGGCCUGAGAGGGCGACCGGCCACAUUGGGACUGAGACACGGCCCAAGCUCCUACGGGAGGCAGCAGUGGGGAAUAUUGCACAAUGGGGGAAACCCUGAUGCAGCGACGCCGCGUGAGCGAAGAAGUAUUUCGGUAUGUAAAGCUCUAUCAGCAGGGAAGAUAAUGACGGUACCUGACUAAGAAGCCCCGGCUAACUACGUGCCAGCAGCCGCGGUAAUACGUAGGGGGCAAGCGUUAUCCGGAUUCACUGGGUGUAAAGGGAGCGUAGACGGCAAGGCAAGUCUGAUGUGAAAACCCAGGGCUUAACCCUGGGACUGCAUUGGAAACUGUCUGGCUCGAGUGCUGGAGAGGUAAGCGGAAUUCCUAGUGUAGCGGUGAAAUGCGUAGAUAUUAGGAAGAACACCAGUGGCGAAGGCGGCUUACUGGACGGUAACUGACGUUGAGGCUCGAAAGCGUGGGGAGCAAACAGGAUUAGAUACCCUGGUAGUCCACGCCGUAAACGA
RNAcentral lists this ribosomal RNA (779 nucleotides) under uncultured bacterium. RNAcentral's name for it is "bacterial SSU rRNA". It matches the Rfam family "Bacterial small subunit ribosomal RNA", at positions 28 to 809 of the family's 1533-position model. The record is from RNAcentral.